CGAGUGAAGCGGGAUGAGCUCAAAUUUGAAAGCCGGCCUUACCGCCCGCAUUGUAAUCUCGAGACGUGUUUUCCGUGCUGGACCGUGGACAAGUUCCUUGGAAUUGGAUGUCAUAGAGGGUGAAAACCCCGUACAUGCCGCGGACGCCCAGUGCUUUGUGAUACACAUUCGAAGAGUCGAGUUGUUUGGGAAUGCAGCUCAAAGUGGGUGGUAAAUUCCAUCUAAAGCUAAAUAUUGGGGAGAGACCGAUAGCAAACAAGUACCGUGAGGGAAAGAUGAAAAGCACUUUGGAAAGAGAGUUAAACAGUACGUGAAAUUGUCAGAAGGGAAGCGCUUCAAGUUAGUUGUGUGUGGUGGUGCUCAGCCGCAAGGCGUUUUCACCGCUACACAGGCCAGCAUCGAUUGCAGGGGAUGGAGAAUUGGGCGAGGAAUGUGGCACCCCCGGGUGCGUUAUAGCCUCACCCCGGAUACAUCCCCCGCGAUCGAGGACUGCAGCGCUCGCGCGCUUAGG
RNAcentral lists this ribosomal RNA (511 nucleotides) under Exobasidiales sp. RP. Its description in RNAcentral is "LSU rRNA". It matches the Rfam family "Eukaryotic large subunit ribosomal RNA", at positions 90 to 621 of the family's 3401-position model. The record is from RNAcentral. Lineage: Eukaryota; Fungi; Basidiomycota; Exobasidiomycetes; Exobasidiales.